GAAAACAACAAAUGGUUGGGUCAAAAUUUGUGAUGAAAAAGGUUUUGUUCAAUAUAAUUUUUUACGAGUUAAUUUCAUACAUGUCCCUGUAAAUAUAGUGAAUGAUAAAUAUAUUCCUAUAAAGUUCAACUUUCAAAAUGUUGUUCCUACAAAAAAGUCUUAAUAUUUUUAAAUAUGUCCUCCUGAUUUGUUACCGUUAGAGAACCGUUUAUAUUUUUAAUUUUGUUGUGAGAUUCCUGGUGUACAGCAGUAAAGGCUUGUCGACAGCUCUAGAGAGUGUCAGGACAAGUCUGAGUCGCGUUGGCGCGAAAUAGACGCAAAACGGACUCUGUGCGACGCGAGAGCAGCAUUUAGCAAGAAAAUCUAUAAAUAGCUGUUUUCUGCUUGCUGUACCGGUACAGCCAUCAUGGUGUACCGGUACACUGCUCAGGGCUUCGCGCUGCUUGCUCUCGGGUUGGCCUCUGUACCGAUACACGGGCCCGUGUAUCGGUACGCCAGGGUAGGUAGGAUGACUUUUUGGUCUCUUUCUACCUCGUUUGUGUCACCCUUCCCUCUCUCUA
Molecule: long non-coding RNA, 560 nt
Filed under: Ananas comosus (pineapple)
Lineage: Eukaryota; Viridiplantae; Streptophyta; Magnoliopsida; Poales; Bromeliaceae
Description: long non-coding RNA (ACOM_LNC011735)
Source: RNAcentral